CCUACGGGAGGCAGCAGUGAGGAAUAUUGGUCAAUGGCCGGAAGGCUGAACCAGCCAUGCCGCGUGAAGGUCAGUGCCCUAUGGGCGUUAAACUUCUUUUGUGCGGGAGCAAUAAUGGUCACGUGUGGCCAGACGAGAGUACCGUACGAAUAAGCAUCGGCUAACUCCGUGCCAGCAGCCGCGGUAAUACGGGGGAUGCAAGCGUUAUCCGGAUUUAUUGGGUUUAAAGGGUGCGUAGGCUGUGAGGUAAGUCAGCGGUGAAAUGCCCCCGCUCAACGGGGUGAAGUGCCAUUGAUACUGCCUGGCUGGAAUGCGGAUGCCGUGGGAGGAAUGUGUGGUGUAGCGGUGAAAUGCAUAGAGAUCACACAGAACACCGAUUGCGAAGGCAUCUCACGAAUCCGCGAUUGACGCUGAUGCACGAAAGCGUGGGUAUCAAACAGGAUUAGAUACCCGUGUAGUC
Molecule: ribosomal RNA, 460 nt
Filed under: uncultured bacterium
Lineage: Bacteria
Description: partial 16S ribosomal RNA
Rfam family: Bacterial small subunit ribosomal RNA
Source: RNAcentral